Molecule: ribosomal RNA, 222 nt
Filed under: uncultured bacterium
Lineage: Bacteria
Description: partial 16S ribosomal RNA
Rfam family: Bacterial small subunit ribosomal RNA
Source: RNAcentral
CGCGUGGAUAAUCUUCCUCUAGGUGGGGAAUAACCAGUCGAAAGAUUGGCUAAUACCGCAUAAGACCACAAGCUCUACGGAGCAAGGGGUUAAAGGCGUAAGCCGCCUGGAGAUGAGUCUGCGCCCGAUUAGCUAGUUGGUGAGGUAAAAGCUCACCAAGGCGACGAUCGGUAGCUGGUCUGAGAGGACGGCCAGCCACACUGGGACUGAGACACGGCCCAG